CCUACGGGUGGCAGCAGUGAGGAAUAUUGGUCAAUGGCCGAGAGGCUGAACCAGCCAAGUCGCGUGAGGGAAGAAUGUCCUAUGGAUUGUAAACCUCUUUUGUCAGGGAGCAAAGUCACCCACGUGUGGGUGUUGGAGAGUACCUGAAGAAAAAGCAUCGGCUAACUCCGUGCCAGCAGCCGCGGUAAUACGGGGGAUGCGAGCGUUAUCCGGAUUUAUUGGGUUUAAAGGUUGCGUAGGCGGGUUCUCAAGUCAGCGGUAAAAUCGUGGAGCGCAACUCCAUCCAGCCGUUGAAACUGAUGAUCGGGAGUGGGCGAGAGGUAUGCGGAAUGCGAGGUGUAGGGGUGAAAUGCAUAGAUAUCACGAAGAAAGCC
RNAcentral lists this ribosomal RNA (374 nucleotides) under uncultured bacterium. Its description in RNAcentral is "partial 16S ribosomal RNA". It matches the Rfam family "Bacterial small subunit ribosomal RNA", at positions 338 to 710 of the family's 1533-position model. The record is from RNAcentral.